RNAcentral lists this ribosomal RNA (1037 nucleotides) under Mischocyttarus weyrauchi. RNAcentral's name for it is "eukaryotic LSU rRNA". It matches the Rfam family "Eukaryotic large subunit ribosomal RNA", at positions 417 to 1138 of the family's 3401-position model. Lineage: Eukaryota; Metazoa; Arthropoda; Insecta; Hymenoptera; Vespidae. The record is from RNAcentral.
AAACCUGAGAAACCCGAAAGAUCGAAUGGGAAGAUUCAGCGUCAGCGGCGCUUGCUCGGCGGAUCGUGCGUCGUCUCGGACUUCUGUCUUGGGACUCGUAUUCUUUCCAUGCCUUGUUUGGCGUCGUCGUCGUGCACUUCUUCCCUAGUAGAACGUCGCGACCCGUUGGGUGUCGGUAUACGGUCCGAGCGGUAGACUGUCGCGUCGCUUCGGCGCACGCGGCAGACCCUCGGUCACCCGACCGGCUGCCCGGCGGUCGAACUUAUAAGGUAUCUUGCCGCAAUUAUCGAACGUGCGUCGGGCCCGUCGCAAGCGAGGCCAGUAUUUAUCGGAGUUACGGACCCGGUGCCGUACCCGUAACUGGCCAGCUGUUUGCUGGCGGAGUCCUUUGACGGGCAAUACACAAUGAUACCGGUCUGCGACGCUACUGCUUUGGGUACUCUCAGGACCCGUCUUGAAACACGGACCAAGGAGUCUAACAUGUGCGCGAGUCAUUGGGACCGCGAAGCCUAAAGGCGUAAUGAAAGUGAAGGUCGUACUUUAAGGUCGACCGAGGGAGGAUGGGCCGCGUUUACGCGUUGCUCCGCACUCCCGGGGCGUCUCGCUCUCAUUGCGAGAAGAGGCGCACCCAGAGCGUACACGUUGGGACCCGAAAGAUGGUGAACUAUGCCUGGUCAGGACGAAGUCAGGGGAAACCCUGAUGGAGGUCCGUAGCGAUUCUGACGUGCAAAUCGAUCGUCGGAACUGGGUAUAGGGGCGAAAGACUAAUCGAACCAUCUAGUAGCUGGUUCCCUCCGAAGUUUCCCUCAGGAUAGCUGGCACUCGUUCGUUCAUAAUUUGAACGUCUAACGAGUCUCAUCUGGUAAAGCGAAUGAUUAGAGGCCUUGGGGCCGAAACGACCUCAACCUAUUCUCAAACUUUAAAUGGGUGAGAUCUCUGGCUUGCUUGAACUAUGAAGCCACGAGAGAAAAAAUUAUAAUAAUAAUUUAUUAUUAUAAUAUAUAAAUACGGAUCAGAGUGCCAAGUGGGCCAAUUUU